CACCGAUGAGUGGGCCUGCCCUUUCUUCCCAAACUCAGAGAAUUGGAAUGGGUUUCCUUACCUGGGACCUGCAGUUGACUGGGGAAUGGAAUCCAGGAUUCUGAGUGCAGAAGUUUCCAGAUUCAGGACUCAUAAAAUCUUAAUAUAGCCCCGAGACUGUCAUGUUUACAGACAGUGCAGCAAAGGCAGUGGCUUGGAGUGUGACCAGAGAGUUUGCAGAACAAACGCACCAGGGAGGGGCUUGGAUGGAAAUAACCAAGCGCUCUCCCCGCAGGGCGUCAGGAAGACAGAAGAAGCUGGACAGAAAGAGAUCAAGAUUUAACUGGUUAUGCUGUAGAGCAUGGCAGAUCGUAACAGAAGACAAAGCCCUUAAAAGGACACAGUUGGAAGCACUGGAUAUAUUACAAGGCUUUGACUGGAAUGCCAUAUUUUCAGAUACGACCAGACAGCUUUAAGGAACUAAGAUUGACUUUAUGGAGCCAAUAAGCCACCCCCAUCUUAAUAAAACUGGCUUGAGGGUUCCAGCCUUACAGACGAAUAAGGAAUAUCCCUUCUUGGCAGGCACAGAAGCCUCAGGAUAUUCAGGGACCUCAAGAAGAGAGGAAUUCACUCAAAUCUAAACGUAACAGAUGAAGCAUGAUGAAACGAAACUAUCCUCAUUAAAGGCCUGAUGGCUCACACCAUCCAGGAGAUCUCCUCUGCUACCAACUCCCAGCAGCUGAUUCAGCGGUCCUUCAUGAACAAUAGGCAACUGAACAAGAAAAUGAGUUUAUAUUGUUCAAAAGAAAUAAGAAUGCCUCUUUUUUCCCUUGAACAAGGGAGGUGGGGACUAACAAAAGAUUCUUUGCUUGACCAAACUUUAGUCAGGCUUCUAAAUCUUCCCCUCAGCCCGUCUGUGCACUUCCUUGUGAAAUCCAGUUUUAGCAAAGAACAUUGCAAGAAAAAAGCAAAGCGGGAAAGGGAUGUAAGAAAGAGUGAGAUGAAUAACACACUUCCAAGAGGGAGGGCUCAAAGAAGGAAAAGGAAAGAUCAAAUGAGUUCCUUAUAUCCCAAAAGAAACUGCAGACACAACGGACCAACAAACUGAGCUCAACUGAACUCUGUAAGUUUCAAGCAGAGAUUCUGUGACAACAGAGAGAUGAAAGGCAAGUUGAGGAAACAAAUGGAAGAAAAAGAUAAAACAUUACAGUGACGGGAACCACGUUCAAAGCCACACAACCCUGAAAGCACAAGUUUGACAAAAUUAUGCAAAACAAACUGGCACAAAAAACAUGCAAGAUUGAUCGUCAAGAAGAUGUAAAUGGCAGGCAAAGGGCAACUGGUUUUUCCAAGAAGAGAACAGAAUGGAUGAAACUGAAAAGGCAUUCAAGGAACCAUGGGAAGCUGACUUUUCAGAAGGAGGACAUGGACUUCCAAUUCAACUGAGCACGUUGUAUCCCAGAAAGAGAAACAUAGACAGAGUGACCCAUGCUGAAGCAUAACUAUGGUUAGCUUCUGAACACAGUGACAAAGGCAGAAUCCUAUCAACCAAAAAGCCAAAGGAAACCAAAGCACAAAUUCCCCCACAGCAUUCAGCACCCGAAGAUGGUGGCCACAAUCUACAGUUUGGGGGAAAGGAAAUGUGGGUCAGCAGACCCUGGCACAUAUAAAGACCACACACAGAUGGCUUUACACGUGUGGGCACUCAGGGCCGACAAUUCCUAAAAGCCGUUUUUGACAGAACACUGAGGAAUCAAACUGUAGAUCUUAGGAACAAGGAACUGUGCUGAAAACGAAUGACAGUCAACACAGAAUCCAUUCUAUUUUGGAAUUAAGACCCCAGCCACUAGUGAAAUUGUGUUAUAAAACAGAGAGUAACUCUUAUAAACAUGGCCGGUGUAAAUCAUGAUGUCAUCACCAAAUCGGAAAAGGAGGUGAGGGAACGCUGGCACUUCCCUCAUCUUUCAGAGCAGGAAGUAAAACUUGAAACAUGCAGUCAUAUCAAAAUCCAAUAACCUUGAAUAAUCACUCUUUGUCUACCCUUUUCUCCCGUUGACUUUGAAGGGAUCAUUUGGUCCUUUUUAUAUUGCUUGAAUUUGUUUUUUUAAUUGAUGCAUAAUAUUCAUACAUAUUUGUGGGGUACAUACAAUGAUAUGGUUUGGAUCUGUGUCCUCGCCCAAAUCUAUUGUAAUCCCCGGUGUUGGAGGUGGGUCUUGGUGGAAGUGAUUUGAUUAUUGGGGUGGAUUUCCCCCGCGUACUGCCCUCAUUAUAGUGAGUGAGUUCUCAUGAGAGCUGGUUGUUCAAAAGCAUGUGGCACUUCCCCCUUGCUCUUGGUCCUGCUCCUGUCACAUAAGACGCCGGCUCUCAUUCACCUUCUGCCAUGACUAGAAGCUCCCUGAGGCCUCCCCAGAAGCAGAUGCUGCCAUGCUUCCUGUACAACCUGCAGAACUGUGAGCCAAUUAAAGCUCUCUUCCUUAAAAAUUACCCCAUCUCAGGUAUUUCCUUAUAGCAAUGUGAGAACGGCUUAAUACAUGUAAUAUUUUGUUAGGUGCAUGGAAUGUGGAGUGACCAAGUCAGGGUAUUUGGGGUAUCCAUCACCUCAAGUAUUUAUUUCUGUAUUCUGGAGAUAUUUCAAGACCUUUCUUGUAGCCAAUUUGAAAUACACCCUACAAUGUUGCUAACUAGUCACCCUACUCUGCUAUUGAAACUUAUUCUUUCUGUCUUACUGUGUGUUUGUAUCCAUUAACCAACCUCUCUGUCCUUCUCCCCACUGAUACACCCUUCCUAG
Gorilla gorilla gorilla (western lowland gorilla) is the source of this 2767-nucleotide long non-coding RNA. RefSeq lists it as uncharacterized. NCBI's taxonomy places the organism in Eukaryota, Metazoa, Chordata, Mammalia, Primates, Hominidae. The record is from RefSeq and is a predicted model, not a curated record. The transcript is spliced from 6 exons.